CUGCUACCGAGCGGGCACUAGUUGUUCGACGUAUUGGCGCUACCGCUACGGAAGGCCCUGAGCCAGCGAUCUGGCGUCCUCGCCGGUUUGUACGGGAGCUGCGCAAUCACGUAAGAUUAAUUCCUGUUCAUGUAGGCAAUAGGACGCGGGGCUUGGACUCUUGUUGUUCUUGCAACGAGUCGAUGUCUCAUCUCACUAAAGUUCGUCGACAGGCACAAACUGCAGUGUCUGCGUAUGUUAGAAAAAUGCCUUUCCAAUUACAAUCUACAACCGGUAGAAACAGAGAUUUAGCAAGAUUGGUUUUCUUGAUUACAUGAUAUUAGCAACAUUUGUCCGGCCUGUUUGGCCUGUCCUUUUUGUUUCCUUGAUGUGAUAUAACUAGUGCCAGUCUUGCUAAACAGCAGACACCAACAUUGCUACUUGCCAAAAGCAUCAGACAUGGACAACAUUAAUGCCAUUAUUGUUGAGAAUCGCUGAACCAAAGCAUACACAUAGUCCC
This 499-nucleotide long non-coding RNA is filed under the name Sorghum bicolor (sorghum). RNAcentral describes it as "long non-coding RNA (SBIC_LNC001189)". Lineage: Eukaryota; Viridiplantae; Streptophyta; Magnoliopsida; Poales; Poaceae. The record is from RNAcentral.